ACACAUUUAGACAAGCUCGGAUGUUAAAGAAAGAGGGGAAUAUAAUGUAUAUGCUGUAUGAUGAUAAAGGCAAGAUUCGGUUACCUAACCCGAACCUUGGCCUCUACUCUGUGCAAAACUUUUUGAUUGAGAUUGCAGCAACAAAAAUGGAACCAGGACCAUGCCGCUGCAGUAGAAGAGUUGAGACAAGAUACAACAAUAAUGAAUGACAACAUCACAACCAUGAUGCGGUUCUGUAACAUCGGGUAAGACCCACGGCAACAUCCAGCUUGGGGGAGUUUCUCCCUAAAUUUAUCAAGUAAGUUUUUAUUUGCUCUUCUUAUUUAUUUCUAUUCUAGUAUUUAAUUUACCUUAAAAGGAAAAUUUAGAAAACCAAAUAAAUAUUUUUCUUGCUUUAAUUUACUGCACUUUAUAAAAAUGAAAACAAAAUAAAAAGAGUGUGUAGAUAAGUGUGCUUUAUUUUUCUGCUAAGUUUAAUCUCUAGAAAAAAUAAAAAGACCAAAAAUAUGCAUGAUGGAAAUGAUGAAUAGUUGCUCUGUUUGCUUACUUACAAGUACCUAGCUUUUAUAUUAGAGUUCUUCUAGGAAUUACUAAAACUAAAAUUACUAUCUUUAAACUAAAGUCUAGGUAAGAGAAAGGCAUGAUAUAAAGUUGAGCCACUGUUUAUCUUGUUCCUACUACACUAAGUUCUAGAGAUUUAUUUUGAAAACUUACAAAUCACAUGAUGAGUUCCUAGCAUAACAAACUACCUACCACAGCCAUACUUGCUAUAACAUCUUUUACUAUAUUUACAUUGAGUUUGAUCGAGCUGUGUCGACCCUUAGGAGCUUUUUAUGUGGUUAAAUUAAGAUAUUCACUUGCACACAUCUACCACAGCAUCCACCACCAUUCAUUAAAAUUGCUAAAAAUAUUAUCACUCACUGUCCCAAGUAUUGUUAUUCUCUCUCUCUAAAAAGAUUCAAUGCAGAAGAGACAUGGGUUAUGCAAAAAUAUACGAGGAAAUAAAAAGGGGCAAGUGCCCGGAAACCUCGGAAAAGAAAGAAAAAGAGUGAGACGAGAGGUAAAAAUGGACAAGUGUCCGAAGUAGAAUUAGGGGUACAAAGAUGCCCACUUGAGCGGAAAAAAUGGACAAGUGUACGACAGUAGAAUUAGGGGUAUCUACUACCCACCUGAUAAAAAAGAAAGAGAAAAGAAAAGAAAAAGAUAGCCCAUGUUCUUCCAAGGCAAAGAUCAAAGAGGAGGAGAGAUAGCAAUAUAAGGAGCAAUGAGAACUAAGUUUUAUUAUCACUUAUGCAUUUUCACUAUCAUUUACUCCACCACACAUGCACAUCUUGAUUUAAUUAUAUGCUGAGUUCCUUUGGAUCCAUGGCUCGAUUAGACAACAUAUGUAUGAGCUGUUUUCCACUCCUAUGAGCUCC
This 1418-nucleotide long non-coding RNA is filed under the name Sorghum bicolor (sorghum). RNAcentral's name for it is "long non-coding RNA (SBIC_LNC006323)". The record is from RNAcentral. Lineage: Eukaryota; Viridiplantae; Streptophyta; Magnoliopsida; Poales; Poaceae.